AUGAACGGGCCAAAACGGACAUGGCAGCAGGUCAAAAUCAAAUACAAGAACAUUCUGCAGAAUGCAGUGAAAAAGAAUACCCACAGACAAGGCACGGGUGGUGGGUCACCAAAGGCUGACCUUACCCCAGCAGAGGACAUGGCCUUGGAGCUAAAUAAAGGCAGGCCCGUCUUAGAGGGGAUCCCUGGGGGGAAAGAGACGAGCAUAGGUUCCUCCCAAGAUGCCACCCGCUUCAUUCAAGUGUCUGGCAGCACUGUGUUCCUGUUAGAGCCACCAGCACAAGCACCAGAUGAUGCUGAUCCAGGUGAAAGUCCCAGUGCAGCAGCAACAGCACAUGAUGGAGAUGAUGAUGAGGAGGAGACCAUCUCUCUGGAUUCCAGAAGGCAUGAGGACCCAGAUGCUAUACAGUGGGAAAACCAGCCUGGCAACAUAAGCUCACAAGCUAUCAGAAAGUUGUAUGGCAACCACCUCCGGCGCCAAAUAGAACUGGCAGACAUAGACAUUCAGUACAAGAAGAAAAAGCUAGAAAAUCUUGCACUGGAGUCCGAAAUAAAAAAGAGGACAAUUAGGAAACUGGACCUUGAAAUAAAAAAACUUGAGCGGGAGCUCCAAGAAGAUGACACAGCUAAAAAUAAAAAUUAGGUAUAUUCUCGUAAAGUCAAGUGAGCCAUGACAUAUGAGCUCUUAUUGUGAGCACACAGGACGGUGGCAUCUUUCUAAGGUAUAUUUUAUUUUCACAGCAAUCAGUACAACCAAGUCAUCGUUAUAAGGCACCAGCUUUUGCCCACCUCCCCAGCACCAGGUGCGGCCACUAGCCUAUAUGAAGGCCCAAAAUUGUGUGUUCCUUUCUGCUCUGACAAUGGCAUGCCCAUUCUUGCGAGAUGUGGUGGAUGAAGAAGCACUUGUGCUGAGGAGAGCCUUCAGGCGAGAAAGGGUCUUCAGGGACCGGUUGGACCCACUGGCCUUCCCUGAUGACCAUCUAUAUGAAAGAUACAGGUUUUCUGCAGAUGGCAUCAGGUAUCUAUGCAGACUACUGGGUCCCAGGAUUAAGCACCGCACUGCACGGAGCCAUGCACUGAGUGUGGAGCAAAUGGUUUGUGUGGCCUUGCGCUUUUUUGCUAGUGGAGCCUUCCUGUACUCAGUGGGGGAUGCAGAACAGCUGAACAAGGCCACAAUUUGCCGCACAAUAAGGAGUGUGUGUCUGGCUAUCAAAGCAUUAGCAGAUGUCUUCAUCUCCUUCCCUGGCCACAGAAGACUCUGUGACAUGAAAGAGGAGUUCUAUAGGAUUGCAGGUAAGAGGAUCUACAAAUUACAGGACAACUGUUAACACAUAGUAGGAUACUCAUUACUUUGUGUGACCGGUUUCCCCAAUGUUAUUGGUGCAGUGGACUGCACACACAUAAGGAUAAAAGCCCCCUCAGGUGCCCAUGAGGCAGAUUUUGUGAAUAGGAAAUCCUUUCACAGCAUUAAUGUUCAGGUGAACAUAACUUUUUGAUAUUGUCCAUUGACGAACACUCUGCAUUGCCAAUGAUGUGCAUUGAUUGGUGUAAUAUUCCUCAUCUUAUGAUUUCAGAUGGUCUGCAAUGCUGACUGUGUGAUCAGCAAUGUUGUGGUGAAAUGGCCUGGCUCAGUCCAUGACUCCAGAAUCUUUCGGGCCUCUGAAAUCUAUCAGUGCCUAUCACAAGGUAAGCCACACAACCCCUGUUUAUAACCAUCAUGGCUGUGUCAAGAAUAUCACUGUGUUCAUGAGGUAGUAAUGAUGAGAUUUUGUGUUGACAGGUGAAUUCUCUGGUGUGUUGCUGGGAGACCGGGGGUAUGGCUGCCAGCCUUUUCUCCUGACACCUUUCACAGACCCCCAGGAAGCACAGCAGGCCUACAACCAUGCCCAUGCCAGGACCAGGGCCAGAGUUGAAAUGACCUUUGGCCUCCUGAAGGCACGCUUUCACUGCCUUCACAAAUUAAGGGUCAACCCUGUUAGAGCAUGUGAUAUUACUGUGGCUUGUGCUGUCCUCCACAAUGUAGCCUGCCUGAGGAAGGAGAGGGCCCCCAGAGUGCCACCAGCCAUGGACUGGGACAAUCCGGCAAUCUUCCCUGAUGACGACAGUGGUCGGCUGCUGAGGGACCAAUAUGUGUUGAAUUAUUUUAGUUAGUAUGUGUGCUUUCAAUUUAGGUAAAAAAUGUCCUUUUGUGGCAGAGGAAAUAGGGUUUUUUUGGGUUUUUUUUUUUUUUAGGAAUUUGGCCUCUUAUGAUGUUUGUGCGGUAUACUGUGUGUAAUACAAGGCUGCAGGGAGGCUACUGCAUCCAUUCAUUUGUCUGUUCAGUUGAUGUGUAUGGAUUUGUCCUGCAUUUAUUUUAGUGUGCAGACAUGCAGGGUGUGUUAUAUACAUACCUUUGAAUGUGUAUGUAUCAUUUUGUAUAAUAUGCUUUGAUUCUGUGCUUUCCAUCUUGUAGAGUCACUGUGACUUCAGUUUCGAAAGGAGCUGAUAGUUUACCUGCUUUGUUUUGUCCUUAUUCAAUAAAGGAACAUAAUGUUACACAUUGUGUUUUUAUAUUCAUAUGGAAUGUGUAUUUGUUUAUGACCGAGUACUAGGGUCCCACUGAGGAAAAAGGAUAAAGUCAUAAAUUUAUGAGGAUGGUUCUUUCUGCAGUAAAGCAACAUAUUCUUUUUACAGUUUUGAUAGUUAUGACAAUGUGAUACUUCAUAUUCUGGCACAUCAGCAUGUCUUUGUUUAUGAAACCAUACUGAAGUACAAUUUCACGAAAUGCCCCACAUCUGUCAUUUUAACAACUGUCCUCCUUUAAAACAACUGGUUACAAUAUUAUGACUUGUCUUUUUUUUCCCCUCUGUGGCCCUAAUAUUCUAUCAUUUUAUAUAUAGCCUUAUAGUCUAUGGGAAACUGUAAAUUAUCUAAUGAUCGCAACAUCAUCUAAAAAUCAUUAAUCCAAAAUGAUUGAAAUUAAUGAUCACAAACGUUUAAAUAACGACAGUGGGUCUAGUUAUAUGUGAUAACAAUGUAUAGUGAGCAGUGAAAUAACUAUUGGUUUCCGUUUGUGGCGACUGCUGACUGACAUUAGGGAUGAGAUUAAAUAGAUCCUGGAAUUUAACCUGGUCUGGAGCAGGCUAGCUCCACAGAAUAAAUCUCCAUGGUAAUUUAUACCAUAACAUAUCCUCCUGCCCCCUAUCCAGCUUUAGUGCAACCGGAUUAGGGAUCAAUUGAGCCAGGAUCACCAAGAUAUCCUGGCUUAAUCCCUUAUCCUACUUUUGUGCAAC
This is a long non-coding RNA of Carassius auratus (goldfish), 3271 nucleotides long. NCBI's taxonomy places the organism in Eukaryota, Metazoa, Chordata, Actinopteri, Cypriniformes, Cyprinidae. The record is from Ensembl.